Molecule: long non-coding RNA, 18519 nt
Filed under: Malus domestica (apple)
Lineage: Eukaryota; Viridiplantae; Streptophyta; Magnoliopsida; Rosales; Rosaceae
Description: long non-coding RNA (MDOM_LNC004135)
Source: RNAcentral
CCCAGUUUUGGAGAGCGUUAUCUGUCUUCUGCACUUUUUGAUUCCAUUAGGCAUGAGGCGGAAAACUUGAGUAUUUGCUGAAAGUGUUGCUGAAUCGGCCUUUUCUUAGUUUCCUAGCUCCUUGAAAUAACACGAAAACUUUGCUCCAGUUUGAAAUGAAAAUAUUUCUGGGACCUUUUACCAAUGAACUAAUAAACUCUGGUUGAUGGCUUUCUUCUUGAUAGCAUCAGUAGUAGCAAUGUUAAGAAAAUCUGUGUUUGACCAAAAAUGAAUAGAAAGUUAAAGAAAAAGGAGUUCCCAGUAGUAGCAAUGUUAGAUUUUCUUGGUUUUUGUUGUUUGAUUGUCAAUUUCUAUCCUGACAAAAACAGUACCUGACAUAAACAAUAUCCAAUAAAAAUUGAUUAUACAAUUAACGGAUGUGAGUGGAGGAUCUUCACAAAAAGAAUCGAAUGAGGAUCCUCACAAAAAGAAUCGAAUGAGGAUCCUCUUGUUUGAACUGAUAUCCCUUUCCUUAUCUAUUAAAACCCCUCACCUGUCCCACCAAUACAACAACCAAAACAUCUAUUUCCAUAUAUUUUGACUUUUGCAAUAUAUAUUUAUGUAAUCAUUUUAUAUAAAACAACCAAAGCAUCUAUUUCCAUCUAUUUCCGUAUAUUUUGACAUUUUGCAAUAUAUAUUUAUAUAAACAUUAUUGUAUAUUAAUGCAUAUUUUUAUUAACGUGUCCAUGCCGUCUUAUAUCCUAAUAUUUAGAAAAUAGUUGUAUUGUUGUAUUUGUGUCUCUAUCCAUGCUACAUAGUUAGUACCAAAAGGAUUUGGUUGUUUAUAUUUUUCCGGAACUUUUUACCCUUUUAAAUUUCGUCCCCUAGACGAUUUCUGGCUUCGCCACUAAGGGGGUGAUUGAAAAUUUAGGAAUGCACUUAUUUAUUAAAGGCUAAAUAGCUAAAAUGGUCUAUGAGAUUUGCAUAAUCAAUAGAAAUAGUCAUUGAUUCAAAAUCAAUAGAAAUUGUCUCUGAGAUAAUCCAUCAUCCAUGAUUUUGGUCAUUCCAUUAAAAACUCUUUGGGUAAUUUUCAAAGCUUCGUAACUCAAGGGUGAUUGAAAAUUUAGGAAUGUACUUAUUUAUUAAAGGCUAAAUAGUCAAAAUGGUCCAUGAGAUUUGCAUAAUCAAUAGAAAUGGUCACUGAGAUUCAAAAUCAAUAGAAAUGGUCUCUGAGAUUGUCCAUCAUCCAUGAUUUUGGUCAUUCCAUUAAAAACUCUUAGGGCAAUUGUCAAAACUUCGUAACUUAAUCAUUUCACAACCAAAUUCGACCCAUAAUAUAUUAACAUGAAGAUAGGAAAGUGUAAAACAAGAUUAUAUAUAUUUGGAAGCUCAAUGGUUGCUGAAUAUGGCUGGAAAAUAGUCUGAAAUGUGACUGGUCCACUGGAAAACUGAAAAACUCGCUGGAAACUGGGUAAACUUUAAACAUUCAUAACUUCUUCAAUACUCAACGAAAUCGAGUGAUUCAAAAACCAAAAUCAUACUUCUCGACAAGAUGAAGAGUUUUUAAUGGAAUGACCAAAAUCAUGGAUGGUGGACAAUCUCAGAGACUAUUUCUAUUGAUUUUCAAUCUUAGGGACCAUUUCUAUUGAUUUUCAAUCUUAGGGACCAUUUCUAUUAAUUAUGCAAAUCUCAAUGACCAUUUUAGCUAUUUAGCAUUUAUUAAAUAUAGUUUAACAUAGUAGUCGGUUUCUUAUGUAUGCAAUUAGGAUUAAAUAAAUGUGGAAGGGUCUAACUGUAAACUAUAGUGGUUGUUGAUUAUUUGAAACCAAAAGUGUAUUUUAUGGUUUGGAAAUGAAAUUUGAAUUUAUUAUCCGCCAUCUCAGUUCUUAUGUCAAGAGUUUUGACAUCUUUGGGAGAACAUAGUGUUGGUUCAUUUAAUUUUCCCAACACAUAGUUUUAAUGGCAUUUGGUAUAUGCAUUUGCCAAUUAUGUGUAGUUGAUUAAGUUCUUUAAUUUUAGUAUAACCUUGCUAAAUCCUAAUCAUAAAUGCACUUUGGAUGUAAGAGUAAUGAUGUGAUACUUUCUAGGGAAUUUUUAUUUGGACCUAGCUAUCCUCUUUUCACACCAAACUUUAAUAUUUUUGCACCUAAAUUCUCAAUUUUACCCUUAGAAAAAACUAAAAGGGCAAAAAUGAAAAAAAAAAAAAAAAAACCUAACCAACCCCCCCCCGCGACAACAACACUGUUUCCGGCAACUCUCCUCCCAUCGCCGUCGAAUCUGCCAUCAGCGCCAUCGUUUCUCUUCCUCUUUCACUUCUUCCUCUUCCUUCUCUCUUGUUUCUCAAUUUUCGUCUCAGAUUUGAAUCCUAAUGAUUGAAAGGAUCAAAUCUCGCCCUGGUGAUUUUGGCCUUAAGUUCUUCAUCGUGACGAUGGGGGUUGGAACCGCCACUUUAGACCAAACCUUGGCGGUGAUGGAGCUUGCUGCUAAUGAGGUGGAACUAAGCGUCCUUGUUGGCGAACGCCGUGAACGACUAGCCGUCGGAGAAAGUAAGUUAAAGACAUAAUCAAAUGUGUAAGCGCUGGGAUCAAGUCCAACGUAACUUUUGUUAGCGGGAGAAGGCGGCAAAGCUAAAAUUGAGAGGGAGGCAAGUGGUGGUGGUUUGGGUGGUGGUGCAAUGUCAAGUUGGGGAUGGGUUUCAGCCGUUAGGCUGAAAAUGGGUGUAGAAAGAUUAUUUCGUAUAAGGGUAAAAUGCGAAUUAUGAAGAAUAAUUUUUGUUUGGGUUGUGAUAUCCGCACACCCCAUUUUACUUCUCACACACCCUUCUAAUUUUUGACCAUUGGAUCGGAUUAAUUGAAGAAGAUCAACGGACAAAAAUUAACAAGGGGUGUGAGAAGUAAUUUGGGGUGUGUGGAUAGCACACCCCUUUUUGUUAAUGGGUGUAGAAAGACAUAUUCUGGGUCUAAAUAAAACUACUCUACUUUCUAAUAGCCCGUUUACUAAUUCUUAAUUAUAAGAGGAAUUGAACUGAUGAUGAGUUAGAUUGGUGUAGAAUCAGAAUCAAAUUCUGGUUGAAAUUGUUUACUAUUUUUGUGGCCACGAGCAGAGCUGGCGGAAACACAGAAUGAUGAAAACGAAAAACACUCACUCGACGGUGAGAAAGCUCUCACAGGAGGAGAGAAAGCCUCGAGAAUUGGAAGUCUACCCAUCUAAUUUGAUCGUAUCUUUUUUAUUUUUAUUUUUUUAUUUUUUUUACAUUUUAUCAAAGAUACUUCUUCAUAAACAGGCAAAAGGAAUACAAGAUUAGGAGAAAAUUUUCAUUGUGAUGGGAAUAUGAGUGGUACAUCACGUGUUUUUAUGUAAGUGAUGAGAAAUUUUAUUUUUUAAGUUAUUAACUUUUUAAUACACAUAUCCCACAAUUUGUAUAAUGACACAUGGUGUACCACCCUGUGUGCCGAUCACACUAAAAAAUUACUCUAGGUCAGCUGCCAACUGCAGGACCAUAUAAAGAAGAAACUAAAAUACAGAUAGGCAAGAAACUUAAGGCCAGAUAAAGAAGACCACCAACAUAGCUGUGUUGUUGACCUUAAGAACCAAGCAACCACAAAAAUCAGUGUGGGCAGGCGAGGCCAUCCAUGGACAUGAAAUAAACUAGAGCAUAUGGGGGUCAGGAAACCCAAACUUCCAGAAUUAUCCAUCUUUUACAAUGCGAGAAAACACCAAAUUUUCGGACACACGAGAAAAUAUGUCUGCGCGUUGGUGCGGGAACUUGUUGUUUCAAGUGUAAUCGGAUGAAUAAAACACGUUUAAGUUGAAUAAAUUCAACACAAUUAUGAACAAAGUCUUUUUUAUAUACAUUCAAGUGAGCUGGCAUAUAAACACAUUGUACAAUUUGUGGGAAAAACUAAACGUCUUUGAUUAGAAAGAGAUGGUUUCCAAAAAAAAAAAAAGCAUUAGUUCACACAAAAUUUCGGUUACCAAAUCCAAAAAAAACCAAAAACAAAAAUGUGACUCUCUAUAUGGCUUUCUUACUACACAAAAAUAUUCCUUAGUUAAAGCAUGCCACACAUCAUAUGCCACACAUCAUCACAUUGCUAUUAUAUGAAGUAUAUUCCUCAGUGGCAAGCAAUAUACUCUCCUUAGCAUGACCUCUCAAUCCCCUCUCUUUAUCUCCCUAGAAUCGUACAACCCAUAAAGACAGUGCAUAGACAUACGCUCACACACUGAAGAAUGAACGCAUUAUAUUUAGUUGGCACCGUUCAACUUUAAAAGCAGUGAGACCUUCCAAAGGCACAGCCUAACUGGCCUUGGUUCAAAUAACCAAAUUGAGAACAACAAUUGAAUUUUAGAAAAGCUGUACAGAGGGGAAAAAAAAGAAAAAACAAUCCUAUCACAACUGAAAAACAAAAUCAAAAUGAACUGAAUAAAAUUUCAGCAGAGCUUGAACACUAACAUCCUUUGAAAACAUGUGUUGGUUACGUAUAAUAUAUAUGCGCAUAAAUUAAGAAAAUGACUUGAGUGCCCUAGCAGUAGUCUUUACGUUGAACCAAAUCACUAUUAGGUUAAAUGUAUUGAUUCACGCAUCUUCUUUUAUGUGCUAAAUAUCUACUAAAUUGCCCUACGAAAAUGACAUAAAACAACUUUUAAAAGUGACAAUAUAUGCAGCACCAGGAUGUUGCAGAACUCACUGCCCCAAUUUAAGAUUCAGUUUUUGUCCAAUGUAUGUAUAAGCUUAGAUACAUCUGAGAAUUUGCUUUUCAACAGUUGUUACUCUCAUCUUCUUUUGAGAGAGAUAGAUACAAGGGUUAAGAUUACAAUGGGGAAGAGUUAAGAAUCCCUCUAAAAUACUAAAGAAAAACAUACCUAGAAUGGAGUAAACAACUAUUUGUCUCCAUGUCAGUUUCUCAUAGCAUUUAUGCUGUUAGAAAGAUAGUGCUCCACUCCAGAAGGAUGGACAAAUUUACCAGAUGGAGACUGACCCAAAGAAAACAUAAUUAAAAGUUAGCAUCUGACGAACAAUUAAGGUGAUGCAAAAGAGCAACACGUGAUGUGAAAUUAUUAUACCAAAAUAUCUAAGGUCUGUUAAUCCAAUCACCCAAUAAAACAGAACUGAAAUUAAGCACAAUAAUAUCAAAAUUAAAAGGAAGGAAUAAUAUGAAACAUUGUGCAUAGAACGUUCGUGAGAAUGAAUCACACAACAAUCAAGGAUGGACAAAUCACAAAAGUGACAAUUAAAGGGCACCUAACAGACACCCCCAUCUCUCUCUCUCUGCAAUCGCAGAAAUCCCUCGGGUUUCAGGAAGAAAUGGAAAACGAAAUGCUUUUCCAUCCCCUACCUAUACCCAUACCUCCCUUACCCGUUCCCUUUACCCUCACAGAAAAUCCUCCCAUCUCUCUUUCUCACCCUUGUCCCAUCUGUCUGUCUGCAAAUUGCAAAAAAGAAACCCUAAACAAAUCCCUGAAAUCCCUCACCUAAAUCCCCUCACAUUUCUUUCAGAACACCCCCCUCUCUUUCUCUCUGCAAAACCUAAACCAGAUCUCCUAGAUCCUAUCUCAAACACCCGACAUACAACCAAGAAGCCAAGAUAUUAAAGCAAUCUCUACAUAAUACUUUGGAACAAUGAAGCAAAAUGGUUCUUGUUUCUUGUCCAAAACCGUUGGUGCUGCCGCACAUUGUUAUCAGUUAAGGGUUUAUCAAAACCCACCCAAAAAUUACCUUCAUAAAAAAUGCCACCACAAACCUAUUAAGCCCAGUCAAUCAAGAACCUACUUGAUUAAUUUCAACUCAGCAGAUAGUCUAGGUUUUUUGUUUUUUAUGCAGUAAUUAUAGAGCAAAUGGAUAAAAUUAUUGACUAUUUAUACACUAUUGUUGUUUCAUAAGCUUCUCAUUUUCUUAGUAUCAAGCUCUCUUUGUGGGCAAAAAUUAUAAUAAUAAUAAUAACAAUACUAAUUCAAUAAGUAAUGGAGAUUACCAAGGAAAUGAGUUUUAGGUUCUGAAUGGUUUACCGAUUCCCAUCCAUUUGGUGUGAAGACUUUCUUUGUUUUAUGUUAGUUGACGCACAAACUCUCACAAAUGGUGUUUCAACAACCGACCUUGCUCCUAACAAACUGCAAGAACAGAAAUUGCAUUAUAUGAAAAUAGUUGAAAAUUAUUCUUUUAAUCGUAAAUCAUAAAGUUCGAAACUUUCAAUCAAAAUAAUUCAGAACCUCAAACUGAGAACAAAACUUCUACAUUGAUAAUAACAACCCCGAACAAUGAACGAAACAUUGAACCGAAAUCAAAUCAUGUGAUACCUUUUCAGGUGAUGCCCCUUAUCAGAUCAGAUUAUGUACCCAAGAAUGGACUGAAAACAAAGCACUCAUCAGUGUAGUACAUUACACAAAAUUCCAUUUAAUUCUUCACCAAAAAAAAAAACAACACAUUUAAAUAACAAAAUAUAAAAAAAUCCAAGAAAGUAAGUUCAUAACCAACAACCAAUCAUCAAGAACAAACCCCAUCAAGCCCAAACCCAAAUACAAACGCCACUAACAUAAUCACCCAAAAUUCACUACAGUAAACACAAAACCCACCAAAAAAUUACCUUCAUAAAAAAUGCCACCAAAAACCUAUUAAGCCCAGUCAAUAAAGAACCUAUUUGACGAAUUUCAACUUAGCAAAUAGUUAGAUUAUUGCCCAUUAAACAGGUAGAUCAAAGUAAGAGUAUAUCCAGUUAAUAUUACAGUACAAAUUUUGCAUCCCAAGGAAAAAUACCAAAUUCAACCUCAACCAAUAAAAUAGCAUUAAGGAAUGUGAAUUUUCAACUAUUUUGACCAAAUAAACAACUUUCCAUUCUAAUUUCAUCAAUUUCUCGGUAAAUUAAAAAGGCAAAAACAUAUAAUUAGAAGCCAAUUCAACAAUUAACAAAAAAGUUACAAAAAUUAACUCAAAUUCGGUAGCACAGCCUGCUAUAAAGUAGAGGAAGUGUAUGAGUAAUGGAUGUCCAGGGUUGGUCCUUAUGCAGAAGGAAGCAUAGGAAGCAUAAAUGGGAUAUCAAGUGAGGAUCUCAAGUAAAUUUGCAACAACACAAAACCCAACCAGCAACAAUUUGUUCAUUACAUCUUAAAACACAAAAUUUUGUCCGAAAAAUAAGACAUUUAAUGCAGAAAGCUCAAAACUUUGCCUCUCAAAACUAACAUCUGAGAGAGCAUUGCACUUCUUAUCUUUAAAAGCAUGAAUGGUGAACUAAACAAAAGAAUUAAGAAUCUACAAUGAACUAAAUAAAAACACACUUUUUACAAACAUAUUCGCACAAAAAUUAAAACUGUAUUGAGAAACUCACCAUUUUGACAAAAAAAAAAUUAUACCAGUAACUGAACACAAUAAUAAAUGAUUUUAGGAUACUUGUUCACUAAUAUAAAUUUGCAAGUUUAAGAGACAAUGACAACCUGAAUCCUUAAAAAGGUUAUUUACACCUAAAAUGAAACAGACAUAUCCAAAGGACAUAACAUAGUGAUCUUUUGUGAGUUUAAUAUCCGGACUGGAGUUUUUAAUUUUAUGUGGUGUUUGCUGUUCUGAUCUGCCCUUUGUAGGGGUUGUGGUUGGGUUGUUCCAGGGAGGUAUGUUAGACUGUUUACUGGCCCGGAACAGAUGUUAAAAUGAUGGUGCCUUCCUUAAGAAGAGAUAAGACCAUAUCGCAUGACAACUUUUAAAAUAUACGGGUUCAUAUAACAUAGAAAAAUGAACAAAUAAAUGCACACCCAAACUACAUGUGCCAGUCAAAUUAAAGGAUGACUUCUUGCUGAGAACAAAAGUAUAAAAAAAAUGAAUACUUUACCUGCAUAUAUCGCACGACAGUGCUAGUAUAAUCAACUGCUUUCCUCUGUGUAAGCUUUCUCAUCUUUUAUCCAAGAAAAGUGUCAGCAUGAGCUGCAACAAACAAACAAUUUGUCACUCAUUAUAAAAAAAAAGGGAAACUAUAUUAAAUUCUGCACUAAACCUCUCAAAAAAAUUAAACCACUAUUUUCAAAUAUCAUUUACACCCUUGGCCUCACUGCCCUACCCUUUUAAAUUGCAAAUCUCAAUAACUUCAAGAUCUAAAACCAAUUCUAAAGGUUUAAUGCGCUUUAAAGUUGAAAAUCCCAGUCAACAAAAGAAGUAUAAUGCAACCAAAUUCUUGUUUAGGUACUUCCCCACAAUUCAAUUGUUUUCUUUUAUUCUCCAUUAAUUUCCAACCGAAACCGAAAAGAACCAGAACAAAAUAGCAAAGACAAAGGCAUAAUUUGGUACAAACCAUCAUAAGGAGGAAGAGGAUGAGCAAGCACAGGUGGGUUGUGAUACUUCGGGGGGCAUACCGACGGCUGAUGCAUCAUUGGGGCCGGUGGUGCCCAGGGGGGGAUAUGAAAUUCUCCGCCCUGCUGUUGACGCUACUGGUGUUGCAAAUGUUGCUGCUGAUGUUGAGGGUGUUGCCGCUGAUGUUGAGGGUGUUGCUGCUGAUGUUGCGGGUGCUGUUGUUUGUGGUGUUGUGGAUCAGGGUACAUCAUUGUCACCCCAAAUCAAAGUACUAUGAGGAAGAGAGAAAGAAAGAAAAAAAAAAAACCAAAACCCUAGGAUUAGAGAACUGAGAAGUGGAAAGUUGCACCAAUUUAAACGCCUUCUGCCAAGCUAAAAAUUGAAUUCAAUUUGCAAAAGUAGUCACACUGGCUAUGAAUUCAAGUCAAAGAGGGCCUAAAGAGUGAAAUUUAGAGUUUCAACACAACAUGGCCUUCUCAUAGAUAUGGUUUCUUUUCAUGAUUUGAGAGAAAAACCCAUCAAUCGAUUGACAGACUUGAACAAUUAGAAAGUAGUAAAGCAUGUAAAAAGCAUAAGAUUUAAAGCUGUUAUGGAUCCAUAUUUCACUAAAGACCACACACGCAGAAACAACCCCCCCUUUUUUCCUUGAAAUCCUACGCCCACCCCUGUGACUGUGCAAACCAUGCAAACCUCUUUGUGACACCGACAUCACCUCUCCCCCCUUCAAUUAAAUGCAUGAACAUCAUACAGUGAAUUACACAUAAAGUACAACAUUAUCAAGUAUACCUCAAGGCGACAUUGGAUACAAUCAUUUUCAAGUCUUCAUCUCUGACACCAAGAGCACUCAUUCGUUAUACAUUUCUUUAUUAACUGAUCAGCUAACUGAAUUUAAAAUUAGCUUCCAAACCAAAAAAGUUCUGAACUUUUAAUUCUACAAUCAUAUUGAGUUCUUCAUCUCUUACUCUAAAUCCCAAUUACAGAAAGACCUAAACUUUACUCAAUUUAAUAUUGCUUUCCCCCAAAACAGCACAAUCCCACAAAAAUAAGGUUAAAAUAAAAACAACAAUAAAUCAUGAAUUAAAUUAAAUUUCUCACCUCCACCUCUAGUAGAGCUUUCACAUUCUUAACCUAUCACCAAAAAAAAAAAAAAAAAUCAAAUUCAAGUAAAAAAAAUAAAGGAGAACUUGAACUUCCAAAUUAAUUGAAAGAACUAUAAAAUCAAUUGGGGGUUUCUACUGAAGUGAAAAGUAAGGGUUUUACAAUCUCAUAAGGAUCGAUGUCUAAGGAGAGGAUCUGUUCAUCUCCGUUCAUCACUAUGAUCUUAUCUUCUUCAAUUCGUCGCUGCGAUUGGAUCUCCAAUCACACACACACACACACACACACAAAAUAUACCCAAUAACCCAAAAGCUAGAAACUAAAACCUAAUCACCCAAAAUCCCCAAUCCUCAACCAAAAACAUAAUCAGUCACAUAUACUACAUACUGAAUCAAAUGCGGAAACUCAAAUCAAACGCCUUCAAUUGCCUAAAGUUUCAAAAUUCAAUCAUUUUGUCGAGCCUAAAUUUGAAAAAUUACAAUCCCCUCUUGACUAACUCCAUCCAAAGAUUCGAAAUACCAGAAAGCAAAUAAUUGUACUAAAAAUUAAGUAAAUUAAGUAUAAAUUAAAAUCAACUUAACAAAAAAACAACAAAGCUACCAAUCACAAUAGGAAUUCUGCAACUACACACUAUUUACAGUGCUAUGCAAAACUCAUAUUUGAAUGAGGGCCUUUACUAUUGAAUUGAAAGAUGGCUGUUCUUUUUUUAAAUUAGGAUGAUCUCACCAAUCAAAAUUACAGCGCUGUGCAAAACUAAUAUUCAUAAUCUAUACCAGCUCUAGCUUGCCUCCACCCGUAACAGCUCUGGUAUGAGAAAUACAGCGCAAUUAGGAUAGAGGAAACCCAAAUAAUGGAAAUUCAAGAAAUUCAACAUACCAUAAGAUUCUUUCUGACGGCCAAAUUCAUCGACAACGGAGGCAAUUGUUGACCGUCACUGUACCUCCAAUUCGCGCCUGCCAUGUUUGAGGCUUUCAACCGUCACUACUUGGUUUGUGGGCUUCACAUCAAAAGAUAAAGGGCCUUAUCAAAACAGAUCCCACUAACCUCCCUAUUUAAAAACAGAACGUGAUUUAGGUGAUUAAAACUCAUUUGAACAAUCAGCAAAACUUGAGUGAAAACAAUUAACUAAUUAACCACUUGCACCCUGCUCACAAUGAAAAGCAAUUUCAAAUCAACAACCAUAUGAAUCCAGAUUCAUUAACAGGGAUGCUUGGCUGAUAAGAAUCCAGGGCACAGAUGAAACCUUGCUAAACUUGGCAUUUCGUCAUUCAAACAAUUGAAUGAAAGAACAAAAUUAUGUCCAAUCAUUCACAAACAACCACUUUUGCCAUAAUUUUGUUCUUUCAUUCAAUUGUUUGAAUGACCACAUGCCAAGUUUGGCACGGUUUCAUCUGUGCCCUAGAUUCUUGUAAAACACGAAGUUUAAAGAAACAUGAAGCUUUAAAGUAACAGAGGCAUAAAUGAAAAACCUUGGAAUAAACUUAACUUAAAUGUAAAAUGGCAAUUGGGUUAACAAAUCUUGGAAUAAAACUAAAUCACAAAAUGAAAAGCACCUCCAAUAAAUUGACAUUUUAUACUUUUGGCUGGCCAAAAAAUAUCUAUCUUUGCUGGAAUAUGCAAAUAAAAAUGCAAAUUGACAAAAACAUUGAAAUUGAAAUGCAUAGAAGCAAAGCAAAUUACAAAACCUUAAACCAAAUGACAGCUUGGAAAUGGAAGCAAAUGUGUGAACUGUUUUUAAUCAUUUAGGUUUAAAUGAUUGGCAAAAGAAAGAGCCAUUCUUUGAAUCAACAUGAUAAAAAACAGAACAUGAUUUAGGUGUUCAAAUAACCAAAACUGAGAAAAACAAAUUACGAAAAAAAUUGAGAAAAACAAUUAAAUUUAAAUGCACAGAACAAAACAAAUUGAGAAAAACACUUAAAUUGAGAAAACUCUUAAAUUUCUUUAUGCACAGAAGUAAAGCCAAGCAUAAAACGUCAAACCAAAUCACAGCCUGUAAAUGUCAGAGCUUCAAAGCAUAGAUAUACUCUAAAUCAAAUAUAAUUAAAGCUAAUCAAACGAAAUUAAAGCUUAUUAAAACAAAUAAGAACUUGGAAAUAGAAAAGCAGCAUAAUAAAAAAAACGAAAAAGCAAAGAUUGAAGAUGGAAAAGGAACCUGCAAUUAGGUUCUCGAGACGCAAAGAGACCAAGAGAACGAAAAAAUACAAUGCAAGAAACCCUAAUUUAUUAGAAAAAAUCAUGAACAGUUAAAACCUAGGUUUAUUCAAACAGUAAUCUAGGAAUUGAAAGAAGGCUUACAUUUUGAAUCGAAGGGAAACCAGCAACAAAAGGCUUCAAUCACUACCUUUGUAUGUUCGAUUGAUCAGUAAAAUACACAGAAUAAGAGUUACAUCACAUAGCAAUAAAUUAGAGAGAAUUCGAAGACAAAAGGAGAUUGAAAUGUGUAAACCUCACAAACAUCACAAACCCUAGAAUUCUUGCCGACCAAAAUCACAAUUUCGAAUCUGAAGCUGCAUGAUAUGAAUAGAGUUUGUAAACCUAAUCCUAAAGCACAAAAGAUUUGAAACAACCCUAGGUAGAGCUUUCGAAACCAACCCCCUUUCUCUCCCUCGAAUCGUACACCCCCUGUGACUCUGUCUGCCUGCAAGCCACAUGCCUUCCUCUCACCAAAUCUCUAUCUCUCUCCCUCCCUGUCUCUCUUCUCUCUCUGCUCGCUCGCUUUCUCUCUCCCGACGGCAUGCUGUCCCCGAGUCCCACUGCAGCUCAUCAGAAAGAAAGGAAAUGAAAGUCUCUAACCCACCCAUCCCGUUCGAAACCCUACAGACUAAAAUGACCAUCGCACCCCUGCCUUUCCAUGAUUAUAACACGCAGCAUGAAGAUCAGCAGCAGAGAGAGCCAGUGGCAUCCUCGUAAAUAAAGUGAAAUUGGGGUCCAAAAACAAUGAACAGUAAAGAACAGUGCCAAUUGGAAUGCUUUCUUUAGACUAAAGUAAUUCCUCUUUUAUAAUUUGAUCUUAUCUAAUUCGACCAUAUCUUCUUUGUCAGUAGUGUAUUUAAACUCUGCAAUGUGAAAGCAUUAGUGUUUUUCUCAGCACGUUAUCCCCUGGACCACACUCUAAUUUGGGCUUAUCAUAUAAGUUUUUUCUUAUCCUAGUAAACAUGACAAGUUUCUGUCCCCUCAAGCUGCCCUGGUAACUUUUUUUUCUUCCACUUUCUUCUUUUCCCUCCGCCCUUUGUUCAAAUUUCCCAUUGUUUUACACUCUUGGGUCAACAAUUGGAUGUUAGCUUGAAUUAUUAUCCAACGAAUAAGAGACUUGAAGUUUAAUUGAUUAACACGCAUGACACAACGCUUCCUCUUAAGUUGAUCUGGUGAUUUUUUCCUUUUACUUCUUCUGCUUCCCUCCAUUUUUCGCUCUUGUUUCUCGUUAGAGACCACUUAAAAAAUACUGAACAAACAAGAGACUUGUAGCUGAAACAGUUAACAAUAAUUAAUUAUGCACUUGAAGUCCAACGUUCGAUUUUCGCUAAAUGAAAAUUCUUUGUCACUUUCAAGAUUCAAAUAUACCUACAGAGGAAGAAAUGUUCCUUAAACGAAACAGAACAAGGACAACGGGACAACCUUCGUGAAACUUAACCAACAAACGAAUAAAUAAAUAAGUAAAUAAAUAAGGAGUAUGAUUAUUUCCCCUCUUUUUUUCAUCUCCUUCUUCUCACAUUAUCUAUUUUGUCUUUCUCUUUUUAUAAAAAAAUAAUAUAAGAUGUUGACGUGGCUUAAUUGUGACCGUUCAAAUAGGAGGAGAGGGAAGGAGAAGGAACAAAAAAGGAGAGAGAAUCAUACUUCAAUAAAUAAACGCAGAAGUGCCUUUAUGGAAGUGCAAGGAGACAUUUUCCAAAAAAUUCCAAUACAAUUUUCUUUCUUUCUUCUAUAUCUCGGCCUGCAAAAGAUAAGGUUGGUAUUUAUUUCGAGUUUCACAUGAUUUAUUAAUAUUUAAUGACAUAAUUGAAUUGUUCGUUGCUUAUUAGCAUUUGGGUGCAAAAUAUAUUGCUUGAAAUCUUGAAAAUCUGCUGCUCAAUAUGUUAGUGUGUAAAUUAUGAUCUGAUGUGGCAGUUGCAAUUCCAGCUCAUAUUGCUAGGAUGUUUAGCUAAAUUGGUUGUAUGCUUAUUUAUUUAAGUCUCAUAGGUCUUAAGUAAGUAGACAUGUGUUUUCAUCUCAUAGGGUGUAAGAUGGAAGGCUGAGAUUGUUUUGAUGUAAUUUGAAUACUACCAAAAGAGUGCAACGAUUAGAAGUGAGUGGAAUUCCCUUCAUCUCUCAGAUAAAUGAAAUGGUGAAUGUGUGAAGAAUAUUCAGAGUCAUAUUCAUUUAAAAAUAGCUCAAAACCCAUGAUAUCUCAUGGUUUUCAUUUAUCAGAAAAUAAGAAUAUUUUAAACACAUUACAUAAAUAAUUCACCUCAAUAAUUCAAGCUUUGGCAAGGCAACUCAACUAACAUCUCCACAAACCUCAAACCCUAGCUCGCUAUCUCUCUCUAUACCUAUAUAAUAUAUAUACACACACACGUACAUACAUAUAUAUACAUAGAUAUAUACUAAUGUACAUCACCCCUACGUAAUGCAUGCAUUGCAUGCUUCUGUGGUUUCAAAAGAAUGGAGCCCUUGCUCCUGUUUAUUGGGGAUUGGAGUCGGUUAUAAUUAACGUUAAAUGCAUGACUAAGCCUUUCAAUGAAGUGGUGGCAAUAGAAUGUAAGAAAUCAUCUAGGAUAUUGACAGCUACAGCCUACAUGCAAGACGUGUUCUACUUAAGUUGGAGGUGUCAUGAACACGGGUUGCCAAGUAUAAGAGUCAUCAAAUUGUAGGUGCAGGUGUCAAAUGCAGGGAUUAAGCAUGCAACACGUAUAAGCUAGUAGCUGCAUACGAUCAUCACAAUAGAGUGCACAAUAAGCACUCGUAAUGAUUGCUGAAGUGAUGAGAAGGAUGAAAUGGAGGUGGUGCUGUCAGUUUGCAUGAAGUGAGAAGAGCAGGUGUUGCAUUCGUAGGAAUGCUUGAGGUAGAUUGACAGGUGGUAUAGUAAAAAUAGGAAUUGGAUCCCCUCCGAGGCAAACCCUCGGGAUCUUCUUGGAGUGAAAUCAGUUCACAUUUUAAAAGGGGCAGUUAGUGUGUAAAUUGUGAUCUGAUGUGGCAGUUGCAUUUCCAGCUUAUAUUGCUAGGAUGUUUAGCUAAAUUAAUUGGUUGUAUGCUUAUUUGUUUAAGUCUCAUAGGUCUUACGUACGUAAGUUGAUAUGUGUCUUCUUCUCAUAGGGUGUAAGAUGGAAGGCUGGGAGUGUUUUGAUGUAAUUUGAAUACUGCAAAAGAGUGCAACGGUUAGAAGUGAGCGGAAUUCCCUUCCUCUCUCAGACAAAUGAAAUGGUUCUCUGUUCUCUCUCUCCCUCUACUAUCAUCUCUUCCAUUUUCGUACUGUAAUUUCUUCUAUUCUCUGAGGAAAUCUGUGUAGUCAUGGCUCACAGUUGCAUAGCUUACUCGAACACUAACAAAAUAUUGGACAAAUUCCAGAAUUAUUAUUCUGUUCUUUUUGCUCUGUUUAUGGUAGUUAACUGAUUUUUUUUUCAUAAUUUUUAUUGGUUCUUCAAAAUUUAGGUUGGGAACUUUUGGUGUUCUUUUGUGUAAACAUUCUUGUUAAAUACUUGAUAUUUUUGUUUGUUCUCUAUUUAUUUUCUGCAUAUUUUGGGGUCUUCUGGUUUUGAUUCUGUUGACUAUUUCAAGUGAUUUUCUAAGAGGAUGAAAAGAUUAAGCGUUUUCGGGUUUUCUGGUUGCUUUUGUUUUGUUGAACGUUUGAAUCUGUUUUCCCUUCUUUCACAGCUUGCUGCAACACAAGAUAAAUAUGGAAGUCAAAUUUGCAAUCAAGAACGAUGUCACCGAAGUAAGAUUUUUCCUCACGAAAGUCAAGCAUUCUAUUUUGACUUUGAUUUGUUUUUAGUUUUCCUUUGUUUGUAGGGAACUUUAACGAAAAGCUUCCGGUACUAUUCACUUUAACAAAAAAUCAUAUUUUUACACUAAAAAUUCUACCUGGUACUAUUCACUUUACCCUUUAUUUUGUCAUUUUCAUUAAAAUUCAAAGUUUUCAAACUCUUUUCAUUAUUUUUCUUUGUUUUGAUAUGUUGAUUUGGCUUACGAUGCGCUCUCGUUGUACUCUUGGUUCUUGCAGCUGAUUGGAAACACCCCGUUGGUAUAUCUCAACAAUGUCGUGGAUGGUUGCGUAGCACGAAUUGCUGCCAAGCUAGAGUCAAUGGAGCCCUGCUCAAGUGUAAAAGACAGGCAUAUUCUUUGCAAUUUUUUCCUUGGGAAUAUUAAUUUUCGUUUUCUCCUAGAACGACAGCAAAUAAAAACUCAACAUUGAUAUACACGUUUGAUCUUAAAUUUGUAUAUGCAGGAUUGCAUAUAGUAUGAUCAAGGACGCCGAGGAUAAAGGUCUAAUUACGCCAGGGAAGGUUAGCUAUAAAUCUUUAGGAAAACUAAUGAAAAGGGUAUCUGUAGAUGUUUUUUCAGCAUGUAAUGGAGAUUUUACAAGUUUAAUCAUCGUUCAAUAUAGUUAAUACUUAUAAGGAAUGAGCCUCGCUCCACCCCCACCCCGCCAUUGUUCUUAUUGCUGUGGCUGGAUCACUUUUCUCUGUAUCCAAAAUAUUUUCAAGUAGAAUUCCGCUAACAAAAUCUAUACAUAAAUUUUCUCUUUUGUUUCUGUUCUUUUGUGGAUAACAAGCUUGACUAUGUAAGGGAGUUUCCACUUACAUGAUCGAGAAUGUGGCGUGGCGUGGCGUGUUUCAUGUUUCAACGAACUAACUUCCCUUGGUUCUUAACAUGCAUGAUCUUCGGGAACUGAAGACUGUUCUCAUUGAGGCCACGGGUGGCAACACCGGCAUUGGAUUGGCAUUCAUUGCAGCAAGCAGGGGCUACAAGGUUAAGGUAACCAUGCCAUCUUCAAUGAGUAUUGAGAGAAGAAUUGUGCUCCUAGCUUUCGGGGCUGAGGUGUACCUCACAGAUCCUGCCAAGGGUACUAAGGGAGUCUUUGAUAAAGCCGAGGAAUUAUUGAGUGACACGCCUAAUGGUUAUAUACUUGGCCAAUUUGAAAAUCCUGCCAAUCCGAAGGUAACUUUUGGAGUGACUGUGACAUGUCUAGAUGGUUGAGAGAGUUUAUGAAUCGAUAUGUGACCGUUGGUGUAGAUUCAUUAUGAAACCACUGGCCCGGAGAUAUGGAGAGACACAGGAGGGAAGGUUGAUGCCCUGGUUUCGGGAAUAGGUACUGGGGGUACAGUUGCCGGUGCAGGGACAUUCCUUAAAGAGCAGAAUCCAGAGAUUAAGGUUGAAUUUUGUUUGUAUUAUAUAUACGGAUAUCACACGAGUACGUGAGGAGAAAAGUUAGUAAUAAGCAUUUUCUUUUGUCUAGGUGUACGGUGUAGAACCAGCCGAAAGCCCAGUCUUGAACGGUGGCCAAGCUGGUGAGUUACUAUGAUGCUGGUGUUUUCCUCGUCUCCGGCUCUCUGCACUAUUGCUUUCUUUGCUCGUGAAUAUUUUUUCUUGUAGAACAUAUUACAACAGAACGUGAAGAGGAUGCUAGGUUUUUCGGGUUAGCUUUUUGUCUUGCAGAAUAGAGCAAAACAUGAGUAAUGUUUCUUCGUCGUUAGAAUGUUAAACAAUUUGCAAAGUAUUGCAUUAUAGUUUGAUUCGUUUAAGUGGCCCAUCUGUGGUUCAGUUUCUGUAGUAUGAAAUUACCGUUCCAUAGUAUUUGAGAUUUUGUCCUCCUAUAUUGACUGAUGUGUAUGUGGAUUUGUAAUAUGUCUCGCUCGUGUCAAAGGGAAGCAUCUGAUCCAAGGAAUUGGUGCUGCACUAUUGCUUCUUUGCUCGUGAAAUUCUUUUUCUUGUUGAACAUAUUACAACCGAACAUGAAGAAGAUGCUAGGUUUUUCGGGUUAGCUAUUUGUCUUGCAGAAUGGAGCGAAAUAUGAGACAUGUUUCUUCGUCGUUAGAAUGUUAAACAAUUUGCAUAGUAUUACAUUUUAGUUUGAUUUGUUUAAGUGGCCUCUGCGGUUAAGUUUCUGUAGUAUGAAAUUACCGUUCCAUAGUAUUUGAGAUUUCGUCCUCCUAUUGACUGAUGCAUAUAUGGGUUUGUAAUAUCGUUGCUCGUGUCAAAGGGAAGCAUCUGAUCCAAGGAAUUGGUGCUGGUAUCCUACCUGUAGUUCUGGACAUUAGCUUGCUUGACGAAGUUAUUGAAGUAAGAGUUCAGCUCAUUUUAUUGCAUUUCAGUUCUAUAAGUUCUUGUUUCAUUUUGGUGCCAACAACUCUAAUACAAGCACGAAUUUCUCGUUAACGACUGCUGAUGUUUAUGUAACAUUUAGGUAACAAGUGAGGAAGCAAUUGAUACCGCGAAGCAGCUUGCCCUGAAAGAAGGUCUUCUGGUAUGGUAUCAAUUAGUUGACAUCGCUUUCACUUUUGUGUCGGUGCUAGGAGUUUGUUACUCUCCAUUAGUUUGUUAGACGAGAAAUUUGAGACUCCUCUUGUUGCACGCAUUCAUCAUUUUUCCAUUUACGGGUCUGAUUGUGAGAGCAAAUUAACAUUGCAGGUGGGGAUUUCAUCUGGUGCCGCGGCCGCUGCUGCAAUAAAGUUGGCUAAGAGGCCGGAAAAUGCAGGAAAACUCAUUGUUGUAAGUCUGAUUUUGCACUGACCCUUUAGCUUAUACUAUUUCUUCGCUUAAACUUGACUUGGAAUUGUAAAUUCGUAAUCAAAUGCAAUUCUUUCAAACAGACACUCCAUUGAUUUCUUCGCUUAAACUUGACCAGGAACUUAUUCCAUUGAUUUGUUACUUGUGAAGGCUGUGUUCCCCAGUUUUGGAGAGCGUUAUCUGUCUUCUGCACUCUUUGAUUCCGUUAGGCAUGAGGCGGAAAACUUGAGAAUUUACUGAAAGUGUUGCUGAAUCGGCCUUUUCUUACUUUCCCAGCUCCUUGAAAUAACGCGAAAACUUUGCUCCAGUUUGAAAUGAAAAUGUUUCUGGGACCUUAUAUAAGAUUAUUACGACCUUUUACCUUACCGAUGAACUAAUAAACUCUGGUUGAUGGCUAUCUUCUUGAUAGCAUCAGUAGAGCAUCCAUGUACCAUAUGAUUCAAGGGGAAUGAGCUAUAUGGUAGCUUACGAGCGAAACC